AAGAAUUAUACUAUUAUUAUUAUUAUAAUAAUAUAUCUUAUUUGUCACUGCAUCUUUUUCAUUGGUUCAAAUUGAAGUCGUAACCGUGAAGAAAAUAACUUAGUAUCUGAUUUGAAAAUGAUGUCCUUGUUUAGCCACAUUUACACUUAUGCUUUUGUCAAUCUUUAAAACAGGAAGUAUUACUAUAAUUCAAUAAAUCAACGCAUCUUCUGUAUUAUAAAUGGACUUUCUGUUCUAAAUUUUUAUAACAUUUUGUACGAAAAUAUUGCCAAGAUUUUGUUGCCAACUUGCCAUGGAAAAACUUUUAUAAUAAGCUAUAAUGGGGAUAGUUUAUUUCCUUCAAUUACUAUGCAUGUAUAACUUUUUUUUAGGUAUAUCCUUUCUGAACUGAUCAAAAUUGAACGCAUUUCACCAUUCAAUACAACCUUUUUAAUCAGAUAAUUAGUAGAGAGAAAGGGACGGUUACAAUUCCUUUCUCAUAAUUA
This 485-nucleotide unclassified non-coding RNA is filed under the name Hevea brasiliensis (rubber tree). The record is from RNAcentral. Lineage: Eukaryota; Viridiplantae; Streptophyta; Magnoliopsida; Malpighiales; Euphorbiaceae.